UCCCAAACUCUGGAAUAUAUCCCCUUGGAGAGAGACAGAGAGACUUUCCCAUCAGAGCUCAUAGCAAUUGCCAAGAUUAUUGGAAGUUUCUAAGUAUAACUUCUAAAUAAAUACAUUCAUUUUUGAAAGUGAAAAUAAGAUUCAAAUCAAAGUCAACCAAAGUAAGAUUAGUAUGGGAAAUUUAUGCUGAAAUAAAAAAACAAAAACAAAAACAAACACAACCUUUUCCUUUUAUCUGAUUAACUUUAAUGAAAUAAGAAAAACUGGAGUUUGCUCCGCCUGAAAUUAACUAACUCCGCUAAACUUUGAAUCCAGUUAGAUUUAAAGUCCCCUCCUAGGCGUAGAUUGUCCUCAUAUAGACCAAUCCUGUCUUCGGAAGUAGGGGGCAUGGCUCCUUAAUUCAAGACCAAUCCCACACCAGGAAGUAGGGGGUGUGGUCCCUCCCCCAGCAUGGGACUGGCCCAUUCAAGACCAAUCCCACACCAGGAAGUAAGGGGGCGGGACCCCUGGGGCAUGCUGGGGGAUGCAGUUCCCCUGGCCACAACACUUUAAAAUCCACAGUGCCAACUACCAUUGAAUACAAUAUAGCAUCCAUUUGCUAUGAUGUACAUAUACAGGAUCAUAUUUACACAGGUACAUAUCAGAUUUGGACAAAGGCAUAAUCUGUCAUAGUCCCUGUUAAGUGUAGAUUCACGAUAAAGAAGGGUUGUAUCAUGCUGCCUUUGACCGUGGUAUGUCAACUUAAAGUGAAUCUUUGUGUGGUGGUUAAAAUUUCCCGAUCAGCCUCACCUGCUCAUCAGUGGGCUGCAAGACUGGCCGCAGAUGUGGGAUUUCCAUGAAGGCCGCAUUACCGGGGAAGCCUGAGGCAGGUUGAUCACACAGAAAGAAUCCUUGCUUCAUUGGUUCACUGGAGCACAUAACAAUGGCUACAAAUACAGCUAAACUUUCAUUCAGCAUCCCUAGAUUGUGUGUGUGUGUGUGUGUGUGCGCGCGCGUGUGAUUGGUCAUGCUGGAGAAGUUUUCAGAUUAUAAUAUUUUUCUACAAAUCUUCAGCCCUGAAUAAUGUGGGUUGGCAUAAUUUUUAAAAAAAGUCAAUGUAAGGGGAUAUAUUAAAAUAGAAAUCACUUAGAAGUGAGUGUCUGUCUUUAUUUUUCUAGGAUCCUGCACUUUAACCCCUUUCUUUCUGCCUCUCUUAUCUUUAUGGCUGAUGAAUUUCUAUAGGGAUUCCACCUAGGGAAGAUGCCUCACUCUUAUAUUAUCAAGUAUGUUCCUUCAGAAUAGUAGUAGUUGUGUUGUGGUCAAAAUCUAUAUUGAUUCAUUGAUCGAAUUUUUUGAUUGAAAAGCUUGGAACUGAGGGUUGGGAGAAUUGAAUUCCAAUCAAUAACAAUAAAAAAAAUGUUGAUUGAACA
RNAcentral lists this long non-coding RNA (1409 nucleotides) under Monodelphis domestica (gray short-tailed opossum). RNAcentral describes it as "lncRNA (ENSMODG00000030623.2)". The record is from RNAcentral. Lineage: Eukaryota; Metazoa; Chordata; Mammalia; Didelphimorphia; Didelphidae.